This 624-nucleotide ribosomal RNA is filed under the name uncultured bacterium. RNAcentral describes it as "bacterial SSU rRNA". It matches the Rfam family "Bacterial small subunit ribosomal RNA", at positions 338 to 953 of the family's 1533-position model. The record is from RNAcentral.
CCUACGGGAGGCAGCAGUGGGGAAUUUUGGACAAUGGGCGCAAGCCUGAUCCAGCCAUGCCGCGUGUGGGAAGAAGGCCUUCGGGUUGUAAACCACUUUUGUCAGGGAAGAAACGGUCUGAACUAAUACUUUGGACUAAUGACGGUACCUGAAGAAUAAGCACCGGCUAACUACGUGCCAGCAGCCGCGGUAAUACGUAGGGUGCAAGCGUUAAUCGGAAUUACUGGGCGUAAAGCGUGCGCAGGCGGCUUUGCAAGACAGAUGUGAAAUCCCCGGGCUCAACCUGGGAACUGCAUUUGUGACUGCAUGGCUAGAGUACGGUAGAGGGGGAUGGAAUUCCGCGUGUAGCAGUGAAAUGCGUAGAUAUGCGGAGGAACACCGAUGGCGAAGGCAAUCCCCUGGACCUGUACUGACGCUCAUGCACGAAAGCGUGGGGAGCAAACAGGAUUAGAUACCCUGGUAGUCCACGCCCUAAACGAUGUCAACUGGUUGUUGGGAGGGUUUCUUCUCAGUAACGAAGCUAACGCGUGAAGUUGACCGCCUGGGGAGUACGGCCGCAAGGUUGAAAACUCAAAAUGAAGUAGAGCGNGAGAGAGCGAACGGACGACGACGAGGGAGGAGGAG